GAUGAACGCUGGCGGCGUGCCUAAUACAUGCAAGUCGAACGAAACUUCUUUAUCACCGAGUGCUUGCACUCACCGAUAAAGAGUUGAGUGGCGAACGGGUGAGUAACACGAGGGCAACCUGCCCAAAAGAGGGGGAUAACACUUGGAAACAGGUGCUAAUACCGCAUAACCAUAGUUACCGCAUGGUAACUAUGUAAAAGGUGGCUAUACUACCGCUUUUGGAUGGGCCCGCGGCGCAUUAGCUAGUUGGUAGGGUAAAGGCUUACCAAGGCAAUGAUGCGUAGCCGAAUUGAGAGGUUGAUCGGCCACAUUGGGACUGAGACACGGCCCAAACUCCUACGGGAGGCAGCAGUAGGGAAUCUUCCACAAUGGGCGAAAGCCUGAUGGAGCAACGCCGCGUGGGUGAAGAAGGUCUUCGGAUCGUAAAACCCUGUUGUUAGAGAAGAAAGUGCGUGAGAGUAACUGUUCACGUUUCGACGGUAUCUAACCAGAAAGCCACGGCUAACUACGUG
RNAcentral lists this ribosomal RNA (512 nucleotides) under uncultured bacterium. Its description in RNAcentral is "partial 16S ribosomal RNA". It matches the Rfam family "Bacterial small subunit ribosomal RNA", at positions 28 to 507 of the family's 1533-position model. The record is from RNAcentral.